CUCACCGCAACACAGUCACCGCCGCCAUGUCCGUCUCUUCCUCUGCUGCGAAGGUGGCACCGAAGACGCUCAACCAGUUCCGCAACUUCUCGUAUCUUGUGGUCGCAUGGCUCGGCUUCAACAAGGGCUUCCGUGAGAAGGCCGCCAACGAUGCGGAGUGGGUCGCCCACCAGCAGCGGGUGCGUCAGCAAAACGUGGAGCGCCACCAGGCUGCCCAGGCCAUGGCGGAGGCGAAACAGAAUGCCGAGCUCGAGACGACUAUUCCGGCGAUGGUGCCGGAGGGCCUGCAUGAGGUGUACAAGGACGUGGAGAAGGCCAUGCACUAGAAGUCUCUGAUUCCGCCGCGCAGAUGGCGCGCCGCUGAUGGUGUAGAGGAGUAGCCGCACAAAUGCAGCCAACUUCGCCUCACCUACCCGCCUGCUUCUCUCCACCAUUACCUGGUAUCGAUGGACCUUUCCCCGUUAUCCGUCGAAGUCGAUGCAGCGUGUUGCCUCUCCUUUGGAGAAGCGGUGGCUGGUGCUUAGGCUCGUAGGCGUCCUCAUACAUCUAUGAGUUCGUGCACAGCCAAACAACUGCCGCUGCCGCCGCCACAUCUGCAGGAAGGACCCAACAACAAUCCCCCCCCCAAACAUGUGCAACUUAGUAGGAGGUAGAAUACCACGACCGGAGCCGUAUGCAUUGCAAAGUCGGCUUCCCGCUGCCCUUGCCUCUCUGCCUGCCUCCACACCCACACCGACUUCCGGCAUGUAACUGUCUUCUUGUACCUCUCUCUCGCGCGCGCGCUACCAGGCAGGCCCACGGGAUGGGCACCGAGUGGACUGGCACGAAGCCGUGGCCGCAUGCCAGGACAGCAUGCCAAGUAGUGCUGUCCGAGAGAGCGGCACGAUUGCACGAUGCCAAGCGCUUUGCAGUGGCGAACGGCGGGAGGCCUCGAAGAAGAACGGGCAAAAGGCAGGAGAGGACCGACCGAAAAGAGGAAGGAUGGCGCGUAUUUCUACGUAGGGAGUACGCACACGCACACGCACACGCACACGCACACGCACAGCCACCCCACACUGUCUCACCUAGCACCCAAAAAGAGCGUGAGAGAUGCAUCCGGGGUCACUUUGUGUGCGUGCGUAUGUGUGCGUAUCUGUGUGUGCAUGUGUACGCUCGAACACAUUCGUUUCAUUGUGUAGCACGUAACAGGCAAGCAAGCACGUAAACACGAACAGAAAAAUAAGGGCGCGGAAGGAGGACUACGCAAUCCGCGAAGCGGCUGCUCUCCGUGCUGCCUGGUUGCCUUCAUUUUUUCAACGACCUCACUCGCAGAGCCGUUUGCC
RNAcentral lists this unclassified non-coding RNA (1322 nucleotides) under Leishmania donovani. Its description in RNAcentral is "gene:LdHU3.25.0710(CDS-product:hypothetical_prote in_conserved)". The record is from RNAcentral. Lineage: Eukaryota; Euglenozoa; Kinetoplastea; Trypanosomatida; Trypanosomatidae.